AACGAACGCUGGCGGCAUGCCUAACACAUGCAAGUCGAACGAAGGCUUCGGCCUUAGUGGCGCACGGGUGCGUAACGCGUGGGAAUCUGCCCUUGGGUUCGGAAUAACAGCUGGAAACGGCUGCUAAUACCGGAUGAUGUCGAAAGGCCAAAGAGUUACCGCCAGAGGAUGAGCCCGCGUUGGAUUAGGUAGUUGGUGGGGUAAAGGCCGACCAAGCCGACGAUCCAGAGCUGGUCUGAGAGGAUGCUCAGCCACACUGGGACUGAGGCCCGGCCCAGACUGCUACGGGAGGGAGCAGUGGGGAAUAUUGGAGGAUGGGCGCAAGCCUGGCCAAGCAGUGCCGCGUGAGUGAUGAAGGCGGUAGGGUUGUAAAGCUCUUUUACCCGGGAAGAUAAUGACUGUACCGGGAGAAUAAGCCCCGGCUAACUCCGUG
This 433-nucleotide ribosomal RNA is filed under the name uncultured bacterium. RNAcentral describes it as "partial 16S ribosomal RNA". It matches the Rfam family "Bacterial small subunit ribosomal RNA", at positions 29 to 507 of the family's 1533-position model. The record is from RNAcentral.